This 622-nucleotide long non-coding RNA is filed under the name Daucus carota (carrot). RNAcentral's name for it is "long non-coding RNA (DCAR_LNC004550)". Lineage: Eukaryota; Viridiplantae; Streptophyta; Magnoliopsida; Apiales; Apiaceae. The record is from RNAcentral.
UGUGAAUGAAAAAUAUCUUCUUCUUUUUUUUGAAACAAAUGUGUUAAUCUAAUAAUAGAAAGCCAUACGGCAUCUACACCAAUGAUCGAGUCGAACAAACUGAAUGUAUUUUGAGUAAAGGAUAGUUUAGUCAUUUUGGAUUAAAUUGAUCAAGAUUCGAUUUUACUGCUACAAGUAUGUGUCAAACUGCUUCUUUUAUCAUCAACUACGGUAUAUAUUACAUGAUGUUUAAACACAAUUGGAAAUAUAACAUCUCACUAUGUCAGCAGCCAAACUGCUUCUUUUAUCAUCAACUACAGUAUAUAUUACAUGAUGUUUAAACACAAUUGAAAAUAUAACAUCUCACUAUGUCAGCAGCCAAACUGCUUCUUUUAUCAUCAACUACAGUAUAUAUUACAUGAUGUUUAAACACAAUUGGAAAUAUAACAUCUCAUUAUAUCAGCAGCCGCGCAGCAAUCGUCAGCUUAGAGUUUUGACUAUGACAAAAGAGUAUACCUUCAUCUACGAUCGAACAUUAAACUGCUCAGAAAGAAUACCAUCAUUUUGACUCUGUUUUACAUGAUUUAAGGGUCUAUUUUAUGUAACUUUUCGCAAGGAUUUCAAAUAUACAAUUUGUUUUAAG